Molecule: long non-coding RNA, 1366 nt
Filed under: Macaca mulatta (Rhesus monkey)
Lineage: Eukaryota; Metazoa; Chordata; Mammalia; Primates; Cercopithecidae
Description: lncRNA (ENSMMUG00000051732.1)
Source: RNAcentral
CUUGUGAAGUAUAACCUUCUUUUUAAAUUUGAUAUACUUUAUUUUUUGUUAAGAGACAGUCUUACUCUGUCACCCAGGCUGGAGUGCAGAGGCACAAUCUCAGGUCACUGCAGCCUCUACCUCCCAAGUGAUCAAGUGAUCCUCCCACCACAGCCCCCUGAGUAACUGGGACUACAGGCAUGAGCCAUUGCACCUGACAAGAAUAGGCUUUUAAUGGUUCUUCUGAUUAUUUCCAUAUCUCCCAGAUCUCCAUAAAUUUGAUAGACCCACUCCUCUCAUUUGGACUGAGUGGAAACCAAGUUCCAGAGUGACUGGGCAAUAAAUAUGGAGGAAACAGCAUCCCCAGCCUCUACUCACUGCCAGAAUGACCAGCUUCCCCAGCCGAGACAACCAAAAAAUGUUUCCAGGAGAAGAAUUGAUGGCCCAAAGUGACUGUCCUGCCCUGUGAUCUACCCUUUAGCUGAAGAAACAGCAAAACUGGCAUCGACUGCAGCAACUGGGAGCAUCAAGUUUUUAUUCAUUUGUUGAUUUGAACAGUAUUUCAUUCUGAUUUUAACUGACUUCUUUUGCAUUUGAUUAAAAACAAUAACAAAACACUGAAAUCUUUCAAAAACAAAGAGGAGCUGGCCUAUAAAUCCUAAAUACAGAUAUAGUGAUUGAACACAUCUAGGUAGCUUAUGAAUAUAAAACUCACCUAAAGUAUCAUCCACCCCUAAGAGAUAACCACUGUUAAUAUUUUGGCAACUAUUCUUUGAAACAUUUGUGUCUAAAUACAAAUACCUAUGUGUGUGCAAUUUUACUUCACUGUGAUCAUAGUAAGCCUGCUGUUCUGUAGCCUGUUUUUUUUUUUUAAAUCUUGAUAAUAGAUGAUAGAAAUCUUUUCACUUAAAAAACAAUGUUAUAUGUGAAGCAAAAUUUGCUUAACCAUUUUUUUAUUUAUGCUUUCGAUUUGUCACUAUUAUAUGCAAUUCUGUAAUGAAUCUAUCUGAGCGUACAUGUUUUUACUCUUCUGUAAUUAUGCUGUGUAAGUAAAUUCCUAGAGGUAUGAUUGCUCGGUCCAAGGGCAUACACUCCUAACUUCUUUUUUUAGUGCUGCUGUGGCUUCACCAAAGUUCAAAAAGGGGAAGUGAAUGAAUGGUAGGAGGAACACUGGGGUCUUGGGGUGACUCCAUUAAAAAACUUUGAAAAAGGGAAAUAAAAACAAAGCUAUCUUCUGAAGAUUAAACUUUAAAAUCAGCACACAGCAGGCCAAAACAGAGAUGUGCAAAACCAUGCUGAAGAGAUGAGUCAUGGUCACUCAAGUGGUGUGUGAGUCUGGUCAGGAACCAGAAGCCCUCCUGGUUUUUCACACUGAGGGGGUCUAAUU